GAUGAAGAACGUAGCGAAAUGCGAUAAGUAAUGUGAAUUGCAGAAUUCAGUGAAUCAUCGAAUCUUUGAACGCACCUUGCGCCCUUUGGCUAUUCCGAAGGGCAUGCCUGUUUGAGUAUCAUGAACACCUCAACUCUCUUGGUUUGCCAUGAUGAGCUUGGACUCUGGGGGUCUUGCUGGCCUAUGGUCAGCUCCUCUCAAAUAAAUCAGCUUGCCAGUGUUUGGUGGCAUCACAGGUGUGAUAACUAUCUACGCUUGUGGUUUUCCAUCAGGUAACCUUCAGUGAUGGAGGUUCGCUGGAGCUCAUAAAUGUCCCUCCUCAGCGAGGACAGCUUUUUGAACGUUUGAUCUCAAAUCAGGUAGGACUACCCGCUGAACUUAAGCAUAUCAAUAAGCGGAGGA
RNAcentral lists this unclassified non-coding RNA (402 nucleotides) under soil metagenome. Its description in RNAcentral is "partial contains 5.8S ribosomal RNA, internal transcribed spacer 2, and large subunit ribosomal RNA". The stretch from base 1 to 121 matches the Rfam family "5.8S ribosomal RNA", at positions 35 to 154 of the family's 154-position model. The record is from RNAcentral.